RNAcentral lists this ribosomal RNA (250 nucleotides) under uncultured bacterium. RNAcentral describes it as "partial 16S ribosomal RNA". It matches the Rfam family "Bacterial small subunit ribosomal RNA", at positions 57 to 305 of the family's 1533-position model. The record is from RNAcentral.
GCAAGUCGAACGGUAACAGGCCCAGCUUGCUGGGUGCUGACGAGUGGCGGACGGGUGAGUAACGCGUAGGUAUCUGCCUUAUAGUGGGGAACAACCUGGGGAAACUCAGGCUAAUACCGCAUAAUACUUAAGGGUUAAAGCAGGGGACUUUCGAGCCCUGUGCUAUAAGAUGAGCCUGCGUCGGAUUAGCUUGUUGGUGGGGUAAAGGCCUACCAAGGCGACGAUCCGUAGCUGGUCUGAGAGGACGAUC